AGCUUGCUCCCAUUUCUCAGCGGCGGACGGGUGAGUAACACGUGGGCAACCUGCCCUACAGACUGGGAUAACUCCGGGAAACCGGAGCUAAUACCGGGUAAUACAUAGCAUCGCAUGAUGCAACGUUGAAAGUUGGCCUUUGGCUAACACUGUAGGAUGGGCCCGCGGCGCAUUAGCUAGUUGGUAAGGUAACGGCUUACCAAGGCCACGAUGCGUAGCCGACCUGAGAGGGUGAUCGGCCACACUGGGACUGAGACACGGCCCAGACUCCUACGGGAGGCAGCAGUAGGGAAUCUUCCGCAAUGGACGAAAGUCUGACGGAGCAACGCCGCGUGAGUGACGAAGGCCUUCGGGUCGUAAAGCUCUGUUGUUAGGGAAGAACAAGUACCGUUCGAAUAGGGCGGUACCUUGACGGUACCUAACCAGAAAGCCACGGCUAACUACGUGCCAGCAGCCGCGGUAAUACGUAGGUGGCAAGCGUUGUCCGGAAUUAUUGGGCGUAAAGCGCGCGCAGGCGGUCUCUUAAGUCUGAUGUGAAAGCCCACGGCUCAACCGUGGAGGGCCAUUGGAAACUGGGGGACUUGAGUGCAGAAGAGGAGAGUGGAAUUCCACGUGUAGCGGUGAAAUGCGUAGAUAUGUGGAGGAACACCAGUGGCGAAGGCGGCUCUCUGGUCUGUAACUGACGCUGAGGCGCGAAAGCGUGGGGAGCGAACAGGAUUAGAUACCCUGGUAGUCCACGCCGUAAACGAUGAGUGCUAGUGUUUGGGGGGGUUCCACCCUCAGUGCUGAAGUUAACACAUUAAGCACUCCGCCUGGGGAGUACGACCGCAAGGUUGAAACUCAAAGGAAUUGACGGGGGCCCGCACAAGCAGUGGAGCAUGUGGGUUUAAUUCGAAGCAACGCGAAGAACCUUACCAGGUCUUGACAUCCUCUGCCACUCC
RNAcentral lists this ribosomal RNA (941 nucleotides) under Bacillus sp. (in: firmicutes). RNAcentral's name for it is "bacterial SSU rRNA". It matches the Rfam family "Bacterial small subunit ribosomal RNA", at positions 77 to 1000 of the family's 1533-position model. Lineage: Bacteria; Bacillati; Bacillota; Bacilli; Caryophanales; Bacillaceae. The record is from RNAcentral.